GGCUAAAAUUGGUUGCUUCCUGAAGAAGGACCAUAAUCAACGCUUUCAUAACAUCUUGAAUAACCACUCGUUUGGACGAAGACUACGUUACGUUUCAGCAGACGCUUAAAGAAACUAUUAUCGUCAUGGUCUGACUUUUGAUAAAGGCCAGCAUCUACGUGGUGAGGAAGAUCCGGGCCUCGAUCCAGGACGGGGAGCAGAGAGAGGAACCCAUCUUCACACCAUGUAGUCUGGCCAAAGGUGAGCAUAAGCAGCUCUCAGUGUCUGGGAAGACAGCCAUGUUGACCUCUGACCCUGAUGAUGUGUCAGCUGCCGGGGCUCAGGCUCCAUCCACUGAGACGGCUGUGCAGAAGUGCGGCUCCUGAGGUUAAAGGUCACGCCUGCAGGUUGCCUGGGGUAACGGAAUGCCAACAAACACUGCUGUCCGCCAGAAGUCUUGUCAUCCUUUGGACUGGUUUGACAUGUCACACAGGGUGGCAUUGUGCCCCAUUGAGCCCUAUGCCAACAUUGACCAGGUUAGGCAGAUAGAGGCAGCUUUACAGCAAACAGUGAGAUCAGAAUUAGAUUCCUGACUGCUGAAACUCAGCAGAGGCGGAGGGUAAAAUUUUAAA
Long non-coding RNA from Alosa sapidissima (American shad), 611 nucleotides. RefSeq lists it as uncharacterized. NCBI's taxonomy places the organism in Eukaryota, Metazoa, Chordata, Actinopteri, Clupeiformes, Clupeidae. The transcript is spliced from 3 exons. The record is from RefSeq and is a predicted model, not a curated record.